Raphanus sativus (radish) is the source of this 1050-nucleotide long non-coding RNA. RefSeq lists it as uncharacterized. NCBI's taxonomy places the organism in Eukaryota, Viridiplantae, Streptophyta, Magnoliopsida, Brassicales, Brassicaceae. The record is from RefSeq and is a predicted model, not a curated record. The transcript is spliced from 3 exons.
AUACAUGUAACGACCCGAAUUUUGGUUUCAGUAUUUGUUAGCAUGCUAACGGCCGUGCAUUUACAUGAGACCCAAAAUUUGUCUAUAAAUAGCCAUCUCUUAGUCUUUGCAACAUUGUUUUCUCCACCUGCAAACAAAGAAAAAGAAAAUGAGAAGUUGAGAGAGAGAGAGAGUUCAAGAAAGAGAGAAUGAGAAACCUUUGAAGUGAAGCCACAAGAGAGUGUUGAUCAUCAACGGAGCUCGCCAUCGACCACUGCACGCCAAGACCAAGUCGAGCUCGUCCUCACCGUUCACAACAGCAAGAAACCGCCGGAGACCACCAUGCUUUUAAGCUUUGUUUCGGCCGUUUUGGUAAAUCGCCCAUAUCUUUUUAACCGUUGCGAAUCUGGUGCAUGCAAAGCCACCAUCGCGUUCCUCUCGUCGAGACGAAUCCGUAGCCACCAGAAUCGCCGCAAUCGGAGCUAGGACGAAGCCGUACGCGCCCUCCAAAGUUUCGCCGGAAAUCGCCUCCGCCACCGCCGGACCACCGCUGCUCCGCCGUAGUUCGCCACCGUCGCCGCCGCCGGACCACCGCUGCUCCGCCGUAGUUCGCCACCGUCGCCGCCGCCGGAACACCGCUUCUCCGCUGCCGGACCGCCGUUACCGCCGAUUUGGAGUCUAUUUGAGCAUCUGGAGUUCAUAGAUACCACUUCUCUACAUUUUCUAAGGUGAGACAAGCAUCAAUGUGAUAUUUGGACGGACUCGGUGCUACUGGACUUUUCCUUCGGAUUUUAUUUUGGGCUUGGGCUGAGAGUAUAGUUAGGUAUAUGGCCUUUUGUAUUAUGUGUUAUGGUUGGUGGCCCGCCGUUCACUAUUUAGUGGAGACUGGUGUCACAUUGUUAUUUGUUGAGGUGUCGGUUGACACGUGGCCAUUUAGUUAGAAAGUGACGGGUGUCACAAUUUUUGGUAUCAGAGCGCGGUUCCGUCCCGGUUCUGUCCCGGGAUGGCGGUCAGGGGAUUCGGUUUUCAACGUUUUCAAAUAUUUUAUAUACUAUAUAAUAAUAAUAAAAA